RNAcentral lists this ribosomal RNA (433 nucleotides) under uncultured bacterium. RNAcentral's name for it is "partial 16S ribosomal RNA". It matches the Rfam family "Bacterial small subunit ribosomal RNA", at positions 29 to 507 of the family's 1533-position model. The record is from RNAcentral.
AACGAACGCUGGCGGCAGGCCUAACACAUGCAAGUCGAGCGAGGACUCCGGUUCUAGCUGCGGACGGGGGAGUAACGCGUGGGAAUUUGCCCUUCUCUACGGAAUCCCCCUGGGAAACUGGGAGUAAUACCGCAUACGCCCAAUUGGGGAAAGACUUCUCGGAGAAGGGUCAGCCCGCGUUAGAUUAGGUAGUUGGUGGGGUAAUGGCCUGCCAAGCCGACGUUCCAUAGCUGGUUUGAGAGGAUGAUCAGCCACACUGGGACUGAGACACGGCCCAGACUCCGACGGGAGGCAGCAGUGGGGAAUCUUAGACAAUGGGGGCAACCCUGAUCUAGCCAUGCCGCGUGAGUGAUGAAGGCCUUAGGGUUGUAAAGCUCUUUCAGCUGGGAAGAUAAUGACGGUACCAGCAGAAGAAGCCCCGGCUAACUCCGUG